CAGCCGCCGCGGUAAUACGAAGGGUGCAAGCGUUAAUCGGAAUUACUGAGCGUAAAGCGUGCGUAGGCGGUGAGUUAAGUCUGCUGUGAAAUCCCCGGGCUCAACCUGGGAAUGGCAGUGGAUACUGGCUCGCUAGAGUGUGUCAGAGGAUGGUGGAAUUCCCGGUGUAGCGGUGAAAUGCCUAGAGAUCGGGAGGAACAUCAGUGGCGAAGGCGGCCAUCUGGGACAACACUGACGCUGAGGCACGAAAGCGUGGGGAGCAAACAGGAUUAGAUACCCCAGUAGUCCCUGUCUCUUAUAC
Molecule: ribosomal RNA, 301 nt
Filed under: uncultured bacterium
Lineage: Bacteria
Description: partial 16S ribosomal RNA
Rfam family: Bacterial small subunit ribosomal RNA
Source: RNAcentral